This 497-nucleotide ribosomal RNA is filed under the name uncultured bacterium. RNAcentral describes it as "partial 16S ribosomal RNA". It matches the Rfam family "Bacterial small subunit ribosomal RNA", at positions 28 to 507 of the family's 1533-position model. The record is from RNAcentral.
GAUGAACGCUGGCGGCGUGCCUAAUACAUGCAAGUCGAGCGAACAGACGAGGAGCUUGCUCCUCUGACGUUAGCGGCGGACGGGUGAGUAACACGUGGAUAACCUACCUAUAAGACUGGGAUAACUUCGGGAAACCGGAGCUAAUACCGGAUAAUAUAUUGAACCGCAUGGUUCAAUAGUGAAAGACGGUUUUGCUGUCACUUAUAGAUGGAUCCGCGCCGCAUUAGCUAGUUGGUAAGGUAACGGCUUACCAAGGCAACGAUGCGUAGCCGACCUGAGAGGGUGAUAGGCCACACUGGAACUGAGACACGGUCCAGACUCCUACGGGAGGCAGCAGUAGGGAACCUUCCGCAAUGGGCGAAAGCCUGACGGAGCAACGCCGCGUGAGUGAUGAAGGUCUUCGGAUCGUAAAACUCUGUUAUUAGGGAAGAACAAAUGUGUAAGUAACUAUGCACGUCUUGACGGUACCUAAUCAGAAAGCCACGGCUAACUACGUG